CAUGGAUAGACCUUAUGUUAGCUAAAAGAUCACAAAUAUUCUGACUUGGGUUUUCUUUUAUAAUGGGUCUGGUAUGAAUAGAAUGACUGCAAAAUAGGUAGCAAUUACUGUUCUUUCUAAAACAACCCAUGUGUUGUUUGGAGGAGCUUCAUUGUUGUCUAAAAUUAGGGUGUUUUUACAUUGCUAUUUACACAAUUAAAGUUAAAAGAAUGAAAGAAGUUCUUUCUGGAAUUGUGUAGGUGUUACAUUGUGGCUUUACUUGAGGACAGAAAGUAUGCUGCCUUGGCUCCAUUUGGUGGCUUUGCAUUUAUUGCUGCUUGGGCAAGCUUGCUUUUCUGAGUCAUAUCUUUCAUUUCUAUAUUAUUUGCAUAUCUCUGUCAUGGGAUCAAUAAUUUGUAUAAUUUUACUUGAUGUCAUGUAUAUAAUAUUGUAACUUGUAUUGCACAGGUGUGUUUGAAAAGUGUAAAAAUGAAAUAAUUCAAAUGAAGUGAAUUAUGUUUGACUAAAUAUCUGAAUUUUGGGAGUCUGGAGCACA
This 535-nucleotide long non-coding RNA is filed under the name Manihot esculenta (cassava). RNAcentral describes it as "long non-coding RNA (MESC_LNC011350)". Lineage: Eukaryota; Viridiplantae; Streptophyta; Magnoliopsida; Malpighiales; Euphorbiaceae. The record is from RNAcentral.